This 396-nucleotide long non-coding RNA is filed under the name Salmo salar (Atlantic salmon). RNAcentral describes it as "lncRNA (ENSSSAG00000113136.1)". Lineage: Eukaryota; Metazoa; Chordata; Actinopteri; Salmoniformes; Salmonidae. The record is from RNAcentral.
AGGGUUAACACUAGGUACACACCCUGUAUGGUAGGGGUUAGAGUUAACACUAGGUACACAUCCUGUAUGGUAGGGGUUAGAGUUAACACUAGGUACACACCCUGUAUGGUAGGGGUUAGAGUUAACACUAGGUACACAUCCUGUAUGGUAGGGGUUAGGGUUAACACUAGGUACACACCCUGUAUGGUAGGGGUUAGGGUUAACACUAGGUACACACCCUGUAUGGUAGGGGUUAUAGUUAACACUAGGUACACACCCUGUAUGGUAGGGGUUAGAGUUAACACUAGGUACACACCCUGUAUGGUAGGGGUUAUAGUUAACACUAGGUACACAUCCUGUAUGGUAGGGGUUAGGGUUAACACUAGGUUAUACAUUACAUACAGUACUACUACCACU